GAACAGUCGGUGGUCAAUUUUGAAAACAUUUUCUCUUUGUUUUGAGUUUUUUCCACUUUUUAAUUAAAUUUUUCCAAUUCCUUAUUGUUUGCUAAUCUAAUCUUUCAUCUUCUAGUGUUUUUCAUAAUAAUUACCGAUGGAUCGACAAGUGGUUGAUGAUCCGUUUGUAAAAUAUUUAUUGGACAAUCUGCAUGGAGAAGGAAAAAUUUUCUUACAAAAUUUGAUCAAUUGUAAUGAGAAUCUGGAAACAUUAACUAAACUGAUUCCACUUUUGAUGAGUGACAUUAACUUUUACCGAAAGGAUUGUUUGAUCCCAAUGAUUGUGGAGAAAAGUAUUGAAAUUUGUUCCAAAUUUGAGAAGAAAAGAAAAUUGGAUGAAUUACGAGAAAGAGCAAAGGAAUUAAGUGAAGCCACGGAUAAAGAAAAAACUCAAUAUGAACGAAGUUUGGCCUACAGGAAUAAAGAGAUUGAUUUCUCUCGAAAAUGUGAGAAUAGUCAAUUAUUUUAUGAGAACAAAAUGAGUGAAUAUUAUAAACAAAUCAAGCAACUAGAGAAUCUCUUGGUUAAUGUUGGCUUUUACGAUGAACUUUCCGAACAAUCAAUUAAAACCUUGGAACAAGAUAACAACCUGUUAAAAGAUCAAAUCAAAGAGAUUAACGAUAAGCUGACCUACUAUACAUUUCAACCGGAUGAGGAAUCGCUGAAAAAAACCAUUGAAAGUUUAAGAAAUGAAAUUGAAAUUAUGAAUGAAGAUUUGGAAAGAGUAAUUGAAGAGUUUAAUGUCACCAAGGGACAAGAAUAACAAUCGGUUUAUUUUGGUUUCAUUUCGAAACGAAAACUAAUUAUAAACAGUUGAGAAUAUGAAUCAAGGUCAUUUCUCGUUCCUUUCCUAAAAUCUGAUGGACUUAAAAUCUGUGGUGAUUAUCGGGAUCAACAAGUGGUUGGUGAUCAUCGAUCACUUGUCAAAUAAUUAUUGGAAAUAUGAAUGGUGAAGGAAAAAUUUUUACAAAAUUGGAUCGUUUUGAUUAAUAAUUACAUGAGAGUCUGGAGACAUUAAGAAG
Molecule: RNA transcript, 1061 nt
Organism: Panonychus citri (citrus red mite)
Lineage: Eukaryota; Metazoa; Arthropoda; Arachnida; Trombidiformes; Tetranychidae
Exons: 4
Source: RefSeq, a predicted model, not a curated record